UGUAUUGUAGAAGAUCUGUUUUCUUUUUUUUACUUUUAUAUUAAUUUGUUAAUAAAAUAAUAAAUUAAAAAUUAUUUUUUUUCUUUAAACUAAAAAAUCCUGAAACAGCGCUGACUUCUAAUCAAAUAAUUAAAAGUCAUAUUACAUAAAUUAUUCUAUUGUUGGACUUAUCUAUUGUUGGUCUUUUCACUUUUUAUAUUUUAAAAUUUUCUUUCAGACACCCAGCUUGAAUGUUGCUAAUAGUAACGUAACAAAUAAAUUGGUUAUCGUCACUAAAGAUAAAUAAAAUAAACUUACAUAUGAAAUUACUUAUAUAGGCAACUCGAAAUUUGAUUUAGAUGAUUUACAGUCUGGUCCAAAAAGAUCCAUAUUAGAGGUAAAUCAUGUAUAAAACUGACAACAUAAUAUAUACAUUGUAUGUUAAAUAUAUAUUUUAAUUGCUAUUAAGCCUAUUAUAGGAACGUUGUACUUAUACGAAUCUUUGGCAUUGGUUAUUCGUCAUCUUCCUGGCGGUUGUCAGUAGUUGUUACACGAAUCAAAGGGAUAGAAAUAUUCGGAUUUUGUUAGUUACAUAUGUAUCUCUAUACUCAUGUUAUGAAAUAAUUUUUACGUUUAUUCUUUAUAUAUUAUACAGGGGUGUCAAAUUUAUUUGUUUAAACGGCAGCAUAAAUAUUAAACUAGUUUAUAAUAUAGAAUAUUAUCUAAUUAAGAAAAUAACUAUCGACAAUAACUUUUGGAUUAAUACUUUGAAAGUUAUUAGAAUUUUAAAAUAUAGUACUGAUGGUGAAGCGCAGAUUCUGCUAUUUUUAUCAUUAGUCAUUAUUUGGUCACACUUCUUCUGCCACCUAAGUACAAAAAUUAGAAUAUCUUCCAAAGCACUGGUCUAAAAGUUCUUGUUUUAAAUUACAAAUACCAUUUCCAUUAACAUAACCAUGGCUUCAUUUUAUGAGUUAUGUGGGUCUAGAGUUCUUGCAAAUGGAAAACUAACAAAACUGGAUGAUCAUGCUAUUAUUAUAUUACAAAAACUCAUUUAACUCUUAUUGCAAAAUAGACAAGACAUUAUAACGUAACUGUCAAAAAAACUGACACUAUUCAUACCCAGCUAAUAAGUCAAUCUAACUAAAAUUUGCCGCUAAUAGGUAAUGUAUGAAAACUCUAAUUGAUAUGACAAUUUUUUGAGUAUCCAUAGACUGACUUGACACAAUGAAAACAGAUCAUCAUUAAAUCAAGGUAGGGAACUAAUUUAAAUAGAUCAUUUAAAUUAAAUUGAUUAGAUCAAUCAAGUAAUGAAAACUGUGAAGAUAAAAUUAUUAAUGUCUUAUUAAAUAAUUUUUCUUAAGGAAUUUUAACAAAACCUGUGUUUUAUUUUCCAAGCAUAUUCCCAUAUUUUCUGAAAUAUUUAAUAAAGAAACAAAUUACACUAGUCACCAUAUUCAUAAUGAAAUAAUUGAAAUAUGUGCAAAUAGCGAAAAAGAGUAAAUAGUAUAAUGUGUGAUGAAGCAAUUUUUAGAUUUUAUAAAGAAGAACAAAUGUUUAAUAUUAUUUUGAAACUUGUAAAUUAAAUACUAAAUCUCAAAUAAUUUCACAAUCCUAUGAUUGUUGGAAUUUCUGUGGAAAUAUCAUGUCUGGAAAUUCAAUGAAGUCAAUCUAGAAUAAGAAUUGGUAUGCUUUAUAGAAUAAAUCUUUUGGUUGCAGAUAGGUGCAAAAUGUUUAAAGAAACCUUAAGUUUUUUUAACUUGAUUAAACGUAUUUACAUUCAUUUUUCUUAUCCCCAAAGAAUUGUCAAUUAGUUGAAUUGCAUAAAAACUUGGACAGAAAAACAAAAAUUAUGGGCGCAUUAGUAAUAAUAGAUGGAAUUGUAGAUUUAAAAACUGUGAAGCCAUUAAACAAUGUUUCUAGAGUAUUCUUAUUGUACUUAAAAGAGAAAUAGAAAAUGAAAUUGAUAAAGAUGUCAAUAAAGCAAAAGAAAUACUCUCAACAAUUACAAAAGGAGACAUUUAUUAAAGUUUAGUUCAUCAUGCACAACAUCUUGUGUAUGAUCUUGGCUGUGCUUAAUGCAGAGACUGACAAUCAAAGUUCCACUGUUUCUAGAUAAUAAAAUUCAAAGAUGGUUCUUGGCUAAACCAAUGAUGAAUGGGAUGGGUAUUAUCUUUGGUUUGCAACAAAGAUCAAACACCACCAAUGAGAAAAUCACAAAAAUAAUUUUGUUGGGAUUAAACUCAGGAUCCUGUGCGCUUAAACAUACGUUUCUACCCAUUAUGCUAGACUGACCCAUUUAAAGAGUACAGAAAUCGAAUACAAUUUUCAAUAAUAACACAAUGCAGUAAGAUGAAUAUUACUUGUUGAGCUUUCAGACUAAUGCCAGUCAUAAAAUAUAUUUAUUAAAAUAUUAAUUUGACACGUAUGAAAUUUCAAUAAUGAGCAACAACAGAAAUUU
Daktulosphaira vitifoliae (grape phylloxera) is the source of this 2437-nucleotide long non-coding RNA. RefSeq lists it as uncharacterized. The record is from RefSeq and is a predicted model, not a curated record. NCBI's taxonomy places the organism in Eukaryota, Metazoa, Arthropoda, Insecta, Hemiptera, Phylloxeridae. The transcript has 7 exons.